AUUGAACGCUGGCGGCGGGCCUAACACAUGCAAGUCGAACGAGUGGCGGACGGGUGAGUAAUGUCUGGGAAACUGCCUGAUGGAGGGGGAUAACUACUGGAAACGGUAGCUAAUACCGCAUACCAUCGGAUGUGCCCAGAGGGGAUUAGCUAGUAGGUGGGGUAAAGGUUCACCUAGGCGCCGAUCCCUAGCUGGGCUGGGAGGAUGACCAGCCACACUGGAACUGAGACACGGUCCAGACUCCUACGGUAGGCAGCAGUGGGGAAUAUGGGACAAUGGGCGAAAGCCUGACGCAGCCAUGGCGCGUGUAUGAAGAAGGCCUUCGGGUUGUAAGGUACUUUCAGCGGGGAGGCGGUACCCGCAGAAGAAGCACCGGCUAACUCCGUGCCAGCAGCCGCGGUAAUUC
This 406-nucleotide ribosomal RNA is filed under the name uncultured bacterium. RNAcentral's name for it is "partial 16S ribosomal RNA". It matches the Rfam family "Bacterial small subunit ribosomal RNA", at positions 29 to 526 of the family's 1533-position model. The record is from RNAcentral.